AGGCCCAAACAAUUAUACCUUCAUAUACGCGAAAAGGACAAUUUUUUUCAGGUUUGGACACUAGGUCCGGGCGUGGCACGGACGCGGUAUUUGGCAAGUGUAUUGCCUCUGUUCGCGUCACGUCUGUGAUCACGAUUUCGACCGUGUUCUUCACCGUAUUCCGUUUAUAAUUUGAAAAAACAUAAAAUGUGAAAGUUGUAGCCUUUGCGUUAGCUUUCCAACCAUAUAUUGUGUAGCCCAAAUGGAGUUCUGAGAAAAACGUUAUGUGUAUUUUACUAGACAAUGUGCAAUAUGACUACUCGAUUCUUCGUUUUGUUGCUCUAUCAUCCGUUGAUCCUGAAUACGAUCCCGGAUUAAUUCCUUGGGGUUUUACUCAAACUUCAAAGCUCUAAUUCACUUGAAUUCAGUCCAUAUCAUCUAUAUAGCUCGGAAUCAAUCCU
This 440-nucleotide long non-coding RNA is filed under the name Nicotiana benthamiana. RNAcentral describes it as "long non-coding RNA (NBEN_LNC039671)". The record is from RNAcentral. Lineage: Eukaryota; Viridiplantae; Streptophyta; Magnoliopsida; Solanales; Solanaceae.